Molecule: ribosomal RNA, 673 nt
Filed under: uncultured bacterium
Lineage: Bacteria
Description: bacterial SSU rRNA
Rfam family: Bacterial small subunit ribosomal RNA
Source: RNAcentral
ACUCCUACGCGGAGGCAGCAGUGGGGAAUUUUCCGCAAUGGGCGCAAGCCUGACGGAGCAAGACCGCGUGAGGGAGGAAGGCUCUUGGGUUGUAAACCUCUUUUAUCAGGGAAGAAGAUCUGACGGUACCUGAUGAAUCAGCAUCGGCUAACUCCGUGCCAGCAGCCGCGGUAAUACGGAGGAUGCAAGCGUUAUCCGGAUUUAUUGGGCGUAAAGCGUCCGCAGGUGGUUUUUCAAGUCUGCUGUUAAAGCGCAGAGCUUAACUCUGUAACGGCGGUGGAAACUGAGAGACUAGAGUAUGGUAGGGGUUGCGGGAAUUCCCAGUGUAGCGGUGAAAUGCGUAGAUAUUGGGAAGAACACCAGCGGCGAAAGCGCGCAACUGGGCCAUUACUGACACUCAUGGACGAAAGCUAGGGGAGCGAAAGGGAUUAGAUACCCCUGUAGUCCUAGCUGUAAACGAUGGGUACUAGGUGUUGACCGUAUCGACCCGGUCAGUGCCGUAGCUAACGCGUUAAGUACCCCGCCUGGGGAGUAUGCACGCAAGUGUGAAACUCAAAGGAAUUGACGGGGGCCCGCACAAGCGGUGGAGUAUGUGGUUUAAUUCGAUGCAACGCGAAGAACCUUACCAGGGCUUGACAUGUCGCGAAUCUCGGUGAAAGUCGAGAGUGCCUUC